UACGGAGGGUGCAAGCGUUGUCCGGAUUUAUUGGGUUUAAAGGGUGCGUAGGUGGCCUUGCAAGUCCGUGGUGAAAGCCUGCUGCUCAACAGCAGAACUGCCAUGGAUACUACAGGGCUUGAGUCCAGACGAGGUUGGCGGAAUGGAAGAUGUAGCGGUGAAAUGCAUAGAUAUCUUCCAGAACCCCGAUUGCGUAGGCAGCUGACUAGGCUGGUACUGACACUGAGGCACGAAAGCGUGGGGAGCGAACAGG
RNAcentral lists this ribosomal RNA (253 nucleotides) under uncultured bacterium. RNAcentral describes it as "partial 16S ribosomal RNA". It matches the Rfam family "Bacterial small subunit ribosomal RNA", at positions 524 to 776 of the family's 1533-position model. The record is from RNAcentral.